Molecule: ribosomal RNA, 581 nt
Filed under: Trichoderma sp. INBio2556C
Lineage: Eukaryota; Fungi; Ascomycota; Sordariomycetes; Hypocreales; Hypocreaceae
Description: eukaryotic LSU rRNA
Rfam family: 5.8S ribosomal RNA (bases 220-373)
Source: RNAcentral
UACUGCGGAGGGAUCAUUACCGAGUUUACAACUCCCAAACCCAAUGUGAACGUUACCAAACUGUUGCCUCGGCGGGAUCUCUGCCCCGGGUGCGUCGCAGCCCCGGACCAAGGCGCCCGCCGGAGGACCAACCAAAACUCUUUUUGUAUACCCCCUCGCGGGUUUUUUAUAAUCUGAGCCUUCUCGGCGCCUCUCGUAGGCGUUUCGAAAAUGAAUCAAAACUUUCAACAACGGAUCUCUUGGUUCUGGCAUCGAUGAAGAACGCAGCGAAAUGCGAUAAGUAAUGUGAAUUGCAGAAUUCAGUGAAUCAUCGAAUCUUUGAACGCACAUUGCGCCCGCCAGUAUUCUGGCGGGCAUGCCUGUCCGAGCGUCAUUUCAACCCUCGAACCCCUCCGGGGGGUCGGCGUUGGGGAUCGGCCCUCCCUUAGCGGGUGGCCGUCUCCGAAAUACAGUGGCGGUCUCGCCGCAGCCUCUCCUGCGCAGUAGUUUGCACACUCGCAUCGGGAGCGCGGCGCGUCCACAGCCGUUAAACACCCAACUUCUGAAAUGUUGACCUCGGAUCAGGUAGGAAUACCCGCUGA